CUCACACAGGGGAGUAACAGUUGGAACGGCUGCUAAUACCGCAUAAGCGCACAGUACCGCAUGGUACAGUGUGAAAAACUCCGGUGGUGUGAGAUGGAUCCGCGUCUGAUUAGCUAGUUGGCAGGGCAACGGCCUACCAAGGCGACGGUCAGUAGCCGACCUGAGAGGGUGACCGGCCACAUUGGGACUGAGACACGGCCCAAACUCCUACGGGAGGCAGCAUG
RNAcentral lists this ribosomal RNA (224 nucleotides) under uncultured bacterium. Its description in RNAcentral is "partial 16S ribosomal RNA". It matches the Rfam family "Bacterial small subunit ribosomal RNA", at positions 130 to 353 of the family's 1533-position model. The record is from RNAcentral.